AUCCAUCGCGAGGGGUGGCGUAAAGCCUGAGAUGAUACCCAUGGAACCUGAUCCGGAUAAUACCGGCGAAGGGAAGCGGACAAGACAAAGA
RNAcentral lists this non-coding RNA (91 nucleotides) under Desulfobulbus propionicus. Its description in RNAcentral is "TPP sequence". It matches the Rfam family "TPP riboswitch aptamer (THI element)". Rfam says of the family: Vitamin B(1) in its active form thiamin pyrophosphate (TPP) is an essential coenzyme that is synthesised by coupling of pyrimidine and thiazole moieties in bacteria. The previously detected thiamin-regulatory element, thi box was extended, resulting in a new, highly conserved RNA secondary structure, the THI element, which is widely distributed in eubacteria and also occurs in some archaea. Lineage: Bacteria; Pseudomonadati; Thermodesulfobacteriota; Desulfobulbia; Desulfobulbales; Desulfobulbaceae. The record is from RNAcentral. RNAcentral also lists the same sequence under 1 other name.